This 253-nucleotide ribosomal RNA is filed under the name uncultured bacterium. RNAcentral's name for it is "partial 16S ribosomal RNA". It matches the Rfam family "Bacterial small subunit ribosomal RNA", at positions 524 to 776 of the family's 1533-position model. The record is from RNAcentral.
UACGAAGGGUGCAAACGUUGCUCGGAAUUAUUGGGCGUAAAGCGCACGUAGGCGGCAUUGUAAGUCCCAUGUGAAAGCCCACGGCUUAACCGUGGAAGUGCAUGGGAAACUGCAGUGCUUGAGUACUUAAGAGGAUCGCGGAAUUCCCGGUGUAGAGGUGAAAUUCGUAGAUAUCGGGAGGAACACCAGUGGCGAAGGCGGCGAUCUGGGAAGAUACUGACGCUGAGGUGCGAAAGCGUGGGGAGCAAACAGG